GACGCGGUGGUCUAAUGGUUAGCACGCUGGACUCCAGACCGAGCUGUCCGGGUUCAAGCCCUGGCCUGGGUCA
Desmophyllum pertusum is the source of this 73-nucleotide non-coding RNA. The record is from the annotation of a GenBank genome assembly. Lineage: Eukaryota; Metazoa; Cnidaria; Anthozoa; Scleractinia; Caryophylliidae.